Molecule: ribosomal RNA, 434 nt
Filed under: Saica sp. CW-2009
Lineage: Eukaryota; Metazoa; Arthropoda; Insecta; Hemiptera; Reduviidae
Description: eukaryotic LSU rRNA
Rfam family: Eukaryotic large subunit ribosomal RNA
Source: RNAcentral
CUUGAAACACGGACCAAGGAGUUUAGCGUGUACGCAAGUCAUUGGGUAUUUAAAACCCAAAGGCGAAAUGAAAGUAAAGAGUAGUAAAUUGUUGCAGAAAUUUAUUUUUUGUAUAUAAUUUCUCUUUAGGGAAGAUGGAAAGUUAAUCAUAAAUUGAUUAUUGAUAAUUUUUUAUCUAUAAUUGUUUUUGAUAUAGCUUUCCCGCAUUCCCGGGGCGCUUGCAUCUCGCUUUGCGAGUCAGUGCGCACCUAGAGCGUACACGCUGAUACCCGAAAGAUGGUGAACUAUGCCUGGCCAGGACGAAGCCAGGGGAAACCCUGGUGGAGGUCCGCAGCGAUUCUGACGUGCAAAUCGAUCGUCGGAGCUGGGUAUAGGGGCGAAAGACCAAUCGAACCAUCUAGUAGCUGGUUCCCUCUGAAGUUUCCCUCAGGAUA